GGAGUAGAGCAGCCGCAGCCUAGGAGUGGCCCAGCAAGCAGGGGCUCCAAUCCUUCAGGAAUGGUGGAAACCAGAGUAACUGGAAUCCGGGUCAAGCUUUUCCCUGAUGGGGAGAAAUCACUUAAGAAGCCAGUAAUUGUAAACCCCUCACCAAGUAGAUGUAGUGGAUAAUGUUGUGGACACCAUCUUGCUCCACCCAGUCCCUUCUGGAAGGCCAAAUACUCCAUCCUUUGAUCAGGAAUCACUACCUGCCAUGUGCAGUUGCCUUCAGUGGCAGGACACUGUCAUGCACAAGACAGCCCAGGCCAGUGACUGUCUGUGGUGGGAUCUAAAGGCCCGCUCCCCGUGUUUCAACUGGAAGAAUUCUAGCCUCCCUCUCCCAGGAUCACCUGAGCACUCAGUAGGACCUACACUGUGGGUCGCCUUCUCCAUCUGCUUAGUUCUGCCUUCUUUACCUCCUUCCUACUGCGUCUCCUGAGAGCACAUCCUGAAAACCCUUCUGUCCAGAAUUCUCUGGUUGCAGAACCUAUUCCAGAGACCAGUGUAAGACACGGGGUGCCACGUAAGAAAAGUGGAGGGGAAGCAGACAGGAACAAUGGAGGGUUCUUUCAAGAAGCCAAGAAACAUGGUGGUAGCUGAAAGAAGCAGCUGGAAGCCUGGGAACUUCAUUGUCUAGAAGUUCUACCAGGAGUUUCCACUUUAGGUUCCAUGAACCAAAAACACCUGCUUGAGUCUUGGAGGCAAGAAAAGCAGCAGAGGCCACAUUACUGCUCCUCCGGCAUCCGUGGGCAUACGUCCAGGCAUCGGCAGUGAUCCUACCCGGGCCUCUGGGCAUUUUCCUAUCUCACCUUGCACAGCGUGGCCCCGCCCGGGGGUUUCACAGCAUCCUCAGCAUCACCUGGGGACUUGCAACAAUGCCAGUUCUUGGACCACUCUCCAGCCUUACGCAUUCAGAAGCUGCGGAGGAGAAAAGGUGCUGACACUUUGACUGGGAUCUCAAGGAAUAAAACCCUAAUUGACUGACCAGAGUGGAACCAAUAAAGAAGAGAUAUCCCGGCUGAUGUGGGCAGACUUCAUCUAAACAGCUGGAAGGCCUUAAGAACAAAAACAGGUCUUGCAGAAGGAAAAGAAAUUCUACCUCAAGACUGCAGCAUCAGUUCCUGUCCAAGCCUGCACCUGCCAGCCCCCAUGGUCCUAGAAGUCAAUUCCUUGGAAGGGACAUGAAGUGACUGUAGAAUUGAGUAAGAGGGAGAGGCUAGAAGAAUCUUGACUUACUCAACAGAAAAAGCCCAGAUUGCUCUGAAAAGAUGGUCAGUUAGAAACACAGACAUAGAAGUAAAAUAUAAGAGGAAUGAGAGAGAAACUGACAAAGGAGCCAUUAAGCCAAGAGGAACCAGAGAAGGCCAUGUGACACAAGAACACCAAGGAUUUCUGACCACAACCAGAAGCAGGAAGAAGCAAGAGAGGAUUCUUCCCUAGAGCCUUCAGAAAAGGACAGUCCUGCUGACAUGUUGUU
Molecule: long non-coding RNA, 1516 nt
Organism: Mustela erminea (ermine)
Lineage: Eukaryota; Metazoa; Chordata; Mammalia; Carnivora; Mustelidae
Exons: 6
Source: RefSeq, a predicted model, not a curated record